Molecule: ribosomal RNA, 253 nt
Filed under: uncultured bacterium
Lineage: Bacteria
Description: partial 16S ribosomal RNA
Rfam family: Bacterial small subunit ribosomal RNA
Source: RNAcentral
UACGAAGGGUGCAAGCGCUAAUCGGAAUUACUGGGCGUAAAGGGUGCGUAGGCGGUUCGUUAAGUCUGUCGUGAAAUCCCCGGGCUCAACCUGGGAAUGGCGAUGGAUACUGGCGAGCUAGAGUGUGUCAGAGGAUGGUGGAAUUCCCGGUGUAGCGGUGAAAUGCGUAGAGAUCGGGAGGAACAUCAGUGGCGAAGGCGGCCAUCUGGGACAACACUGACGCUGAAGCACGAAAGCGUGGGGAGCAAACAGG